AUUGAACGCUGGCGGCAUGCCUUACACAUGCAAGUCGAACGGUAGAGGAGCAACCCUCGAGAGUGGCGAACGGGAGAGCAAUGCAUCGGAACGUGCCCAGUAGUGGGGGAUAGCCCGGCGAAAGCUGGAUUAAUACCGCAUACGACCUCAGGGUGAAAGCGGGGGACUCGCAAGAGCCUCGCGUUAUUGGAGCGGCCGAUGUCAGAUUAGGUAGUUGGUGGGGUAAAGGCCCACCAAGCCGACGAUCUGUAGCUGGUCUGAGAGGACCACCAGCCACACUGGGACUGAGACACGGACCAGACUCCGACGGGAGGCAGCAGUGGGGAAUUUUGGACAAUGGGCGAAAGUCUGAUCCAGCCAUGCCGCGUGCGAGAAGAAGGCCUUCGGUUUGUAAACCGCUUUUGUCAGGGAAGAAAUCUUCUGGGCUAAUACCCCGGGAGGAUGACGGUACCUGAAGAAUAAGCACCGGCUAACUACGUGCCAGCCGCCGCCGUAA
This 496-nucleotide ribosomal RNA is filed under the name uncultured bacterium. Its description in RNAcentral is "partial 16S ribosomal RNA". It matches the Rfam family "Bacterial small subunit ribosomal RNA", at positions 29 to 523 of the family's 1533-position model. The record is from RNAcentral.